Long non-coding RNA from Mustela erminea (ermine), 1639 nucleotides. RefSeq lists it as uncharacterized. NCBI's taxonomy places the organism in Eukaryota, Metazoa, Chordata, Mammalia, Carnivora, Mustelidae. The transcript has 3 exons. The record is from RefSeq and is a predicted model, not a curated record.
UUUUAAGUGAUGCCUUGACCUUGGGGGAGGCCACUUCUUGCUCUGAACUUCAUGGGUCCAGUGAUGGCACGCAUGGUAGUGUCCUGGUGAAGGUCAAGCGAGGUGGCCCCAGCCAUGCACUAACCGGGCACGGCCCUGAGGACUUCAGUGUGGGGCACCGUCACCAACCCAUCUGCCCAAUGAGAAACCAAGUCCCAGAGAGCUUGAGAAACUUGCCCAAGGUCACAGGGACACGCGCAGAAGAAAAGAAGGCCACAGCACACAAGAACAAGAGGGCGGUGUGCAAGGAAGAGAUGCACAGCUAGAAGCAUCUAGAAGGGACUUCUCCAGCCCUGAGGCCGGUGGGGACAAGACUGUCGGCGCUCAGGGUGAGACCCACCCAUGCUGGGGAAGGCGCGCCUCCCCCCUCCCUCUGUCCCCCCUCUGCAGGGGUGCAGGGGCCGAUGCCCGCUUGGAAAUUCCAUCAUAGGCCCUACAGUCUCCUGCUGAAAAGCCCUGAGGCCCUCUGGGUUCACGGGCACUGUCGGCACGGGGCGCUGAGUCACGGAGCACCUCCGUCAGUCGUUCAUGAUUAAGGAAGCCGGGUGCACGUAGGCAGCGGGCAAACGUAAGGAGAGGCCAUGGGGACGAUCACCCACGCAUCCUGAAGGAAGGCCCCAGGGCCAAGGGAGCCCCGGGUGGCGUGAAAAGCCUUCAAUUAUUGCUGAUGACAACCUCCUGGCCAGCUUUAUGGGGCAGUUAAUGGGGAGUCCGAUCCAGACGUGAAGAGGUUCCUUGCGGGACGAAAGGUCAGCUGGAGGGGGGUGAUGGGACAGGGAUGGAGACAACUAGAAGAAAGAGACAAACCCACGGACCCGUCAGCAUGAGAAAUCCAGAAAGACCGGUCUGGGCCGGAGGCUGGCAGGUGCUGUCCUUCCAGCCCACACCCACCGCCGGCAGCCAAGGCUUGCCAGCACCCGCCGGUGGGGUGACCAUGACACCCUGGGCUCCCGGCACAUCUUGUCCCCUCCAAGCCCUACCCCAGCCUCAACGGCCCCCUCCACAACACAGCCUCUCAUUGCCCCCCCCCCGCUGGAAGCGUAGACUCCUAUGCCCUUAGGGAUCUGGUCAGAGACCCAGGAGUGCAGGAGGGCAGGUGCCCCCAGCCCCGGGCAGCCGUCACUUAGCUCCUGCUGGGGCUUGGUGUGCGGGAACGGGGGUCCAGGGCUGCCAGAGUUUUCUGUUGUGCCAGCAAGUCAGAAACCUAGAUUGUUUUUUAACCUUAAUUUCUAAACAUUGCAAUUCCAAAAUUACAGAGAGAAAUCUAGGUGCUGUACGAGCCGCAUGAAACUUGCCCAUAACCUGCUCUGCCCCGGCCUCAGAUGAAGUGGAAGCCUCGUGGACCCGCCUCUGGUCACCUCGCAAGGCUGCUCCCCUCAGGGAAUCAGGACUGCAAACACCAAUGCCAGGACACAGCCAGGGGUUCCCAGCACCCCGCCCCCACCCCUCAGAAAAGCAUCCCAGAACUCCCCAGGACUUGGACGAGAGCUCCACAAAGCCCGGGGCUUCAGCUGUCUCCUUCCUGCUACAUCCCCAGGGCCCCCCAAGCGACCGGCCGUCAGCAGGCGCCAAUAAACGCGUUAUGUCCAUGCCUCUUAAA